AGGAAAACCAAUGGCAGAAUUCAUUGAUUUAAAGAAUAGGGAAAUCAGUUCUGCCACUAGCUGGGUCAUGUCUCACUGUGCGAGGUGUUGCAUUGAUUGAAGCAAGACUGCUGGCACAGCAUGAGCAGCUUGUAACAGGUAGCUUUGAGCUACACAGAAAGUAUCAGUGACUAAGAGUGGGAUUCAUUUCAGCUAACUUUAGCUGGUGUUAAGAGCUAGGUGCUUAUUCUUUAGGCAGCCGAGGUACUUCUUCCUGUCGCAGCAUUUCCACAGUACCAGAUUUGCCAGAGGAAACAAGGACAAAACACAUAUCAUGUUCCCGGAAAGAAAAGCAAUGAAAACAUUAAGAGCAUAAGUCACCUCUCCUGCUUUUCAACACCUGAAAUAAGAAAUUGAUAUGGUGGGGUAUGGACAUCUUGGGGUAAAGACAUGAAGUAAGAACUUAUUUUCCCCAACAAAAAUAAAUGUGACACUUUGCUCUUGGGAUGUAACAGAGUAAAGAUGUAACAGAUGUCUCAGAGACAGGACAAAUGAAUAAAAAAAAAAACAGAAACAGCAUUUGCAUUAGAAACAUAAAUAUUUUAGUUUGGUACAGGACUACAGAAUAAGUAUCCCCCUUUAGGCCAGUGGUGAACUGCUGGAGAGUUGCAGCUGCUUUUCCUAGCCAGGGUUGCAUCCCCAGAAAGAGCUUCUCCUAGUAAGGAAGCAGGAAGUAGUACUCCUCAGAACUGGAUCCUAACUACUAGAACAAGCGUGACUUAGAUUAAUAGUAGACCAAAGCAAAGCAGAAUGUUGCAUAAGACAGUACAAAAGAAAAGAUACUUGUCAGGAAGAAGUGGAGUAGGUCUGGGGGUUGGUAAUCAGGAUCUGUUCCAAGGAUAUUGAAUCUCUUUUUUUUUUUUUUUUUUUUGUAAUUGCUUAUGUAGUGGCUGGUCUCCAGUUCUUCCCCUUGUAGUGAGGCUUUUUUUGUUUGCAAGAGAAAAGCAUAAUGGAUCAGACAUUUGAGAUCCAUUGCCUUUGGAGUACUGGAUUUCAAGACUUUAAUGUUAUACUAAACCGAAAGGCUUAUGCUGAGGGAGGCAAUGGCAUCAACAAGAGCCAUUCUGACAGGCAGAAAGUCAGCAAGCCAAAAAAUAAAGUAAUAAAUUCUGUUUUAACUUUUCUAAAGAGUGUGUGUGUGUAGGGGGUGGGGGUGGG
This is a long non-coding RNA of Anser brachyrhynchus (Pink-footed goose), 1197 nucleotides long. The record is from Ensembl. Lineage: Eukaryota; Metazoa; Chordata; Aves; Anseriformes; Anatidae.